CUGUGAAAGAGCUGUUUGGAUGUUUGGUUCAGCUUAUUACCAAGAUAGGAAUCAUUUUCAGAAUUGUAGAUAUAGAUGAGUUUGAAAUUUUGAACAUCCCCAAAGUUUUAUUUAAGUAAGUGGUUUUAGCUCAGGCCCAUCUCUAAUUGAAACACUUACAACAAAAAUGUACAAAUACUCCAUUAAGGCAAGUAAAAUGUCAUUAGUGUGGGAUUUUUUUUCCUUUCAUUAACCUCAUCAUAAAAGAAAAGGAUGGGCGAAUAGAUUUUGUUCCUGGGCUGGUAAAAUUUUAUAACAGUUUUGCAAGGCUGUUUUCUCCAGAUAAAGCAAGAACAGCAGCCAAAGAGGAAACUUAUUGUUCCACAUUUCAUUUGCCUGAGAAAGCUGUGAACUGCAGAACCUAACUGGGACCAUUAAACGCCAACAUCAAUAAGCAAAGUGCCUUGAAGAUCCAUGGGAAAUGGAAAGGAGACAAUACUACAUGAUACUUCUUUAUUACAAA
This is a long non-coding RNA of Dermochelys coriacea (leatherback sea turtle), 502 nucleotides long. RefSeq lists it as uncharacterized. The transcript has 2 exons. The record is from RefSeq and is a predicted model, not a curated record. NCBI's taxonomy places the organism in Eukaryota, Metazoa, Chordata, Testudines, Dermochelyidae.